This 466-nucleotide ribosomal RNA is filed under the name uncultured bacterium. RNAcentral's name for it is "partial 16S ribosomal RNA". It matches the Rfam family "Bacterial small subunit ribosomal RNA", at positions 28 to 507 of the family's 1533-position model. The record is from RNAcentral.
GACGAACGCUGGCGGCGUGCUUAACACAUGCAAGUCGAACGGUAAGGCUCCAGCUUGCUGGUGUACACGAGUGGCGAACGGGUGAGUAACACGUGGGUGACCUGCCCUGCACUUCGGGAUAAGCCAGGGAAACUGGGUCUAAUACCGUAUAGGACCAUGCCGUGGAUACUGUGGUGGAAAGGUUUUUCGGUGUGGGAUGUGCACGCGGCCUAUCAGCUUGUUGGUGGGGUAAUGGCCUACCAAGGCGGCGGCGGGUAGCCGGCCUGGGAGGGUGGACGGCCACAUUGGGCCUGAGACACGGCCCAGACUCCUACGGGAGGCAGCAGUGGGGAAUAUUGCACAAUGGGCGGUAGCCUGAUGCAGCGACGCCGCGUGGGGGAUGACGGCCUUCGGGUUGUAAACUGCUUUCACCAUCGACGAAGGGUUUCUGACGGUAGAUGGAGAAGAAGCACCGGCUAACUACGUG